AACGAACGCUGGCGGCAUGCCUAACACAUGCAAGUCGAACGAGACCUUCGGGUCUAGUGGCGCACGGGUGCGUAACGCGUGGGAACCUGCCCUUAGGUUCGGAAUAACUCCCCGAAAGGGGUGCUAAUACCGGAUAAUGUCUUCGGCCCAAAGAUUUAUCGCCUUUGGGUGGGCCCGCGUUGAAUUAGCUAGUUGGUAGGGUAAAAGCCUACCAAGGCGACGAUCCAUAGCUGGUCUGAGAGGAUGAUCAACCACACUGGGACUGAGACACGGCCCAGACUCCUACGGGAGGCAGCAGUGGGGAAUAUUGGACAAUGGGCGAAAGCCUGAUCCAGCAAUGCCGCGUGAGUGAUGAAGGCCUUAGGGUUGUAAAGCUCUUUUACCCGGGAUGAUAAUGACAGUACCGGGAGAAUAAGCUCCGGCUAACUCCGU
This 432-nucleotide ribosomal RNA is filed under the name uncultured bacterium. RNAcentral's name for it is "partial 16S ribosomal RNA". It matches the Rfam family "Bacterial small subunit ribosomal RNA", at positions 29 to 506 of the family's 1533-position model. The record is from RNAcentral.